CUGGCUCAGGAUGAACGCUGGCGGCGUGCCUAACACAUGCAAGUCGAACGGAAACUAGGCGCUUCGGAGGCUUCGGCCAAUGUAUGCUUAGUUUAGUGGCGGACGGGUGAGUAACGCGUGGAUAACCUGCCUCAUACAGGGGGAUAACAGUUAGAAAUGACUGCUAAUACCGCAUAAGCGCACGGAAUCGCAUGUUUCUGUGUGAAAAACUCCGGUGGUAUGAGAUGGAUCCGCGUCUGAUUAGCUAGUUGGCGGGGUAACAGCCCACCAAGGCGACGAUCAGUAGCCGGCCUGAGAGGGUGAACGGCCACAUUGGGACUGAGACACGGCCCAAACUCCUACGGGAGGCAGCAGUGGGGGAUAUUGCACAAUGGGGGAAACCCUGAUGCAGCGAACCGCCGCGUGAGUGAAGAAGUAUUUCGGUAUGUAAAGCUCUAUCAGCAGGGAAGAUAAUGACGGUACCUGACUAAGAAGCACCGGCUAAAUACGUGCCAGCCGCUGC
RNAcentral lists this ribosomal RNA (502 nucleotides) under uncultured bacterium. RNAcentral's name for it is "bacterial SSU rRNA". It matches the Rfam family "Bacterial small subunit ribosomal RNA", at positions 19 to 518 of the family's 1533-position model. The record is from RNAcentral.